UGCGAGUCGAGAGGGUUCGGCCCUCGGCUGACGGCUCAGUAACACGUGGAUAAUCUGCCCUUAGGUGGAGGAUAAUCUCGGGAAACUGAGGACAAUACUCCAUAGGUUUAGGAGGCUGGAAUGCAUCUAGACUGAAAGCUCCGGCGCCUAAGGAUGAGUCUGCGGACUAUCAGGUAGUAGUCAGGGUAAAGACCUGACUAGCCUACGACGGAUACGGGUUGUGAGAGCAAUAACCCGGAGACGAUAUCUGAGACACGAUAUCGGGCCCUACGGGGCGCAGCAGGCGCGAAAACUUCACACUGUGCGAAAGCACGAUGAGGGAAUCCCAAGUGCUUGCUCGUAAGAGUAAGCUGUUUCUCUGUCUAAAACGCAGAGAGAGUAAGAGCUGGGUAAGACGGGUGCCAGCCGCCGCGGUAAUACCUGCAGCUCAAGUGGUGGCCGCUAUUAUUGGGCCUAAAACGUCCGUAGCCGGUUUAGUAAAUGCCUGGGUAAAUCGUGUAGCUUAACUAUACGAAUUCCGGGUAGACUGCUAAACUUGAGACCGGGAGAAGCCAGAGGUACUCCUAGGGUAGAGGUGAAAUUCUGUAAUCCUAGGGGGACCACCAGUGGCGAAGGCGUCUAGCUAGAACGGGUCUGACGGUGAGGGACGAAACCCUGGGGCGCAAACCGGAUUAGAUACCCGGGUAGUCCAGGGCGUAAACGCUGCUUGCUUGAUGUUAGUUGGGCUCCGAGCCCAAUUAGUGUCGGAGAGAAGUUGUUAAGCAAGCUGCCUGGGAAGUACGGUCGCAAGGCUGAAACUU
Molecule: ribosomal RNA, 800 nt
Filed under: uncultured archaeon
Lineage: Archaea
Description: bacterial SSU rRNA
Rfam family: Archaeal small subunit ribosomal RNA
Source: RNAcentral